GUUAAUGCCUUCACAUGCAAGUCGAACGAAGUCCGGACUUAGUGGCGGACGGGUGAGUAACGCGUGAGAAUCUGCCUUGAUAGAUGGGGACAACAGUUGGAAACGACUGCUAAUACCCGAUGUGCCGGAAGGUGAAAAUUUUUUGCCUCAAGAGGAGCUCGCGUCUGAUUAGCUAGUUGGUGGGGUAAAAGCGUACCAAGGCAACCAAUCAGUAGCUGGUCUGAGAGGAUGAGCAGCCACACUGGGACUGAGACACGGCCCAGACUCCUACGGGAGGCAGCAGUGGGGAAUUUUCCGCAAUGGGCGAAAGCCUGACGGAGCAAUACCGUAUGUGAGGGAGGAAGGCCUUUGGGUUGUAAACCUCUUUUCUCAGGGAAAUAAGUUUCUGACGGUACCUGAGGAAUAAGCAUCGGCUAACUCCGUGCCAGCAGCCGCGGUAAUACCAGGGGGAUGCAAGCGUUAUCCGGAAUUAUUGGGCGUAAAGUUCUUUAGGUGGUCUUUCAAAUCCUGCUGUCAAAGACCAGAGCCUAACUCUGGGCAUGGUGGAAACUGAUAUCACUAGAGUUCGGUAGGGGUAGCGGGAGAGCUUCCCAGUGUAGCGGUGAAAUGCGUAGAUAUUGGUAGAACAUCGGUGGCGAAGGCGCGCUACUGGACCGAAACUGACACUCAGGGAAUGAAGCUAGGGUAGCGAACAGGGGAUUAGAUACCCCUGUAGUCAUAGCUGUAACGAUGGAAACUAGGUGUGGCUUGUAUCGACCCGAGCCGUGCCGUAGCCAACGCGUUAAGUUUAUGCCCGCCUGGGGAGUACGUUACGCAAGUGUGAAACUCAAAGGAAUUGACGGGGCUUCCGCACAAGCGGUGGAGUAUGUGGUUUAAUUCGAUUAUAACGCGAAGAACCUUACCAGGGCUUGACAUGUCCGGAACUUUUCUGAAAUAUGAGAAGGUGCAGGUCGGGAACCGGAACACAGUACGGUGCAUGGCUGUCGCAGAGCUCGUGUCGUGUAUGAUGUUGGGUUUAGUCCCGCAACUUAGCGCAACCCUCGUCUUUAGUUGCGGGCCGCAUUAAGGUGGGCACUCUAGAGAGACUGCCGGUGACAAACCGGAGGAAGGUGAGGAUAACGUUACCAGUCAGCAUGCCCCUUACGCCCUGGGCUACACACGUCCUACAAUGGUUGGGACUUAUAGGGCAGCGAACCCGCGUAGGGAGAGCGAAUCUCACAGAACCUAUAGCCUCAGUUCAGAUUGCUCUCUGCAACUCGAGAGCAUGUAUGGAGGAAUCGCUAGUAAUCGCCAGGUCAGCAUACUGCGGUGAAUUCGUUCCCGGGCCUUGUACACACCGCCCGUCACACCAUGGAAGCUGGUCACGUAUCCGAAGUAGUUACUAUCCAACUUUCGAGAGGGGGACUCCUAAGUAAGGGCUAGUGACUGGGGUGAAGUCGUAACAUAU
This 1447-nucleotide ribosomal RNA is filed under the name uncultured bacterium. RNAcentral describes it as "partial 16S ribosomal RNA". It matches the Rfam family "Bacterial small subunit ribosomal RNA". The record is from RNAcentral.